RNAcentral lists this ribosomal RNA (346 nucleotides) under uncultured bacterium. RNAcentral describes it as "partial 16S ribosomal RNA". It matches the Rfam family "Bacterial small subunit ribosomal RNA", at positions 338 to 681 of the family's 1533-position model. The record is from RNAcentral.
CCUACGGGUGGCAGCAGUGAGGAAUAUUGGUCAAUGGGCUUACGCCUGAACCAGCCAAGUCGCGUGAGGGAAGACUGCCCUAUGGGUUGUAAACCUCUUUUGUCAGGGAGCAAGUGGCGCUACGUGUAGCGUUAUCGAGAGUACCUGAAGAAAAAGCAGCGGCUAACUCCGUGCCAGCAGCCGCGGAAAUACGGAGGAUGCGAGCGUGAGCCGGAUUUAUGGGGUUGAAAGGGUGCGUAGGCGGAAUGCCAAGUCAGCGGUAAAAUCGCGGGGCUCAACCUCGCUCCGCCGUUGAAACUGGCGUUCUUGAUUGUGCGAGAGGUAUGCGGAAUGCGUGGUGUAGCGG